UUUUCAUUUCAAAUUCAAUUUUCGAACAAGAAACAUCCCAAAAAAAGUUUUCCGGAAAAAAAUCACAAAAAUUUGGUGACCUACACCUUAAUAAUAAAAAAAAGUUUUAAAUUCAUUGUGAGCUUGCAAGGAAACGCUGCCCUGUUAAACGACGCAUAAUUUCACCGAUUAUUUUCUCCAAUCGUUAAGAAAAAUAACUUGCAAACAACAAAAUGUGUGCUGACAGUUGCUGCUUGUCCUCCCAUCACGGAUGUUCCUACCUGUGUCCAAGCGAGGUUAAACGGAAAGUACAGUUCCAGCAGGAUUGUAAGGAGCGUGAACUACGCGGUGGAAAUCUCUACAGAGGGUGUGACUGCUUUCGACGAAAUGGUCUACAAAACGAUUGCCCAAGAAUCGAAUGUCAAUACGUGAAAUCCACCUGCUUGAAAUUGCCGAAUCCUGCCUGUUGUCCAUCUAAGAACGUAUUGAAGUACGUCAAAAUGACGCACGGUCACAGAAAGAUUGCGAGCGGAAAAUUUUCAGUUAAUUUAUAAUGUUUACUGUCGCCUGUUGCCUAUAACACGCGUCAAUGAGAAAUAAAUGGAAGUCGACAACAAUCGUUAUAACCUU
Long non-coding RNA from Bradysia coprophila, 609 nucleotides. RefSeq lists it as uncharacterized. The record is from RefSeq and is a predicted model, not a curated record. Lineage: Eukaryota; Metazoa; Arthropoda; Insecta; Diptera; Sciaridae.